CCUACGGGAGUCUGCAGUGGGGAAUAUUGCACAAUGGGGGAAACCCUGAUGCAGCGACGCCGCGUGAGUGAAGAAGUAAUUCGGUAUGUAAAGCUCUAUCAGCAGGGAAGAAAAUGACGGUACCUGAGUAAGAAGCCCCGGCUAACUACGUGCCAGCCGCCGCGGUAAUACGUAGGGGGCAAGCGUUAUCCGGAUUUACUGGGUGUAAAGGGAGCGUAGACGGCAGUGCAAGUCUGGAGUGAAAGGCGGGGGCUCAACCCCCGGACUGCUCUGGAAACUGUACGGCUGGAGUGCAGGAGAGGUAAGUGGAAUUCCUAGUGUAGCGGUGAAAUGCGUAGAUAUUAGGAGGAACACCAGUGGCGAAGGCGGCUUACUGGACUGUAACUGACGUUGAGGCUCGAAAGCGUGGGGAGCAAACAGGAUUAGAUACCCGAGUAGUC
Molecule: ribosomal RNA, 440 nt
Filed under: uncultured bacterium
Lineage: Bacteria
Description: partial 16S ribosomal RNA
Rfam family: Bacterial small subunit ribosomal RNA
Source: RNAcentral